RNAcentral lists this ribosomal RNA (798 nucleotides) under Streptococcus thermophilus. Its description in RNAcentral is "bacterial SSU rRNA". It matches the Rfam family "Bacterial small subunit ribosomal RNA", at positions 73 to 856 of the family's 1533-position model. The record is from RNAcentral. Lineage: Bacteria; Bacillati; Bacillota; Bacilli; Lactobacillales; Streptococcaceae.
GAGGAGCUUGCUCUUCUUGGAUGAGUUGCGAACGGGUGAGUAACGCGUAGGUAACCUGCCUUGUAGCGGGGGAUAACUAUUGGAAACGAUAGCUAAUACCGCAUAACAAUGGAUGACACAUGUCAUUUAUUUGAAAGGGGCAAUUGCUCCACUACAAGAUGGACCUGCGUUGUAUUAGCUAGUAGGUGAGGUAAUGGCUCACCUAGGCGACGAUACAUAGCCGACCUGAGAGGGUGAUCGGCCACACUGGGACUGAGACACGGCCCAGACUCCUACGGGAGGCAGCAGUAGGGAAUCUUCGGCAAUGGGGGCAACCCUGACCGAGCAACGCCGCGUGAGUGAAGAAGGUUUUCGGAUCGUAAAGCUCUGUUGUAAGUCAAGAACGGGUGUGAGAGUGGAAAGUUCACACUGUGACGGUAGCUUACCAGAAAGGGACGGCUAACUACGUGCCAGCAGCCGCGGUAAUACGUAGGUCCCGAGCGUUGUCCGGAUUUAUUGGGCGUAAAGCGAGCGCAGGCGGUUUGAUAAGUCUGAAGUUAAAGGCUGUGGCUCAACCAUAGUUCGCUUUGGAAACUGUCAAACUUGAGUGCAGAAGGGGAGAGUGGAAUUCCAUGUGUAGCGGUGAAAUGCGUAGAUAUAUGGAGGAACACCGGUGGCGAAAGCGGCUCUCUGGUCUGUAACUGACGCUGAGGCUCGAAAGCGUGGGGAGCGAACAGGAUUAGAUACCCUGGUAGUCCACGCCGUAAACGAUGAGUGCUAGGUGUUGGAUCCUUUCCGGGAUUCAGUGCCGCAGCUAAC